CAGAGAAUAGUUUAAUUAGAAUUUUGGUUUUGGGAAUCAAAGGUGGAAGUGUUUCUUCUCUGA
This 63-nucleotide transfer RNA is filed under the name Thalassina squamifera. RNAcentral's name for it is "tRNA-Pro". The record is from RNAcentral. Lineage: Eukaryota; Metazoa; Arthropoda; Malacostraca; Decapoda; Thalassinidae.